AUUAGAAUGUGGAAUCUGUUUUUGUACAUCAAGUGUUACGAAACGAAGCAAAAAAGUUUUCAUAUUCUUGCGG
RNAcentral lists this microRNA precursor (73 nucleotides) under Aedes aegypti (yellow fever mosquito). Its description in RNAcentral is "Aae-Mir-927-P2_pre stem-loop". Lineage: Eukaryota; Metazoa; Arthropoda; Insecta; Diptera; Culicidae. The record is from RNAcentral.